Molecule: transfer RNA, 76 nt
Filed under: Mycobacteroides abscessus
Lineage: Bacteria; Bacillati; Actinomycetota; Actinomycetes; Mycobacteriales; Mycobacteriaceae
Also listed under: 2 other names
Description: tRNA-Arg
Rfam family: tRNA
About the family: Transfer RNA (tRNA) molecules are approximately 80 nucleotides in length. Their secondary structure includes four short double-helical elements and three loops (D, anti-codon, and T loops).
Source: RNAcentral
GCCCUCGUAGCUCAGGGGAUAGAGCGUCUGCCUCCGGAGCAGAAGGCCGCAGGUUCGAUUCCUGCCGAGGGCACAA